Aedes albopictus (Asian tiger mosquito) is the source of this 612-nucleotide long non-coding RNA. RefSeq lists it as uncharacterized. NCBI's taxonomy places the organism in Eukaryota, Metazoa, Arthropoda, Insecta, Diptera, Culicidae. The transcript is spliced from 2 exons. The record is from RefSeq and is a predicted model, not a curated record.
UGAAUAUGCAUCAAUUUGAAUUGUUCCUUGAAUGGAUCCCUCCAGAAUGGUACCCUCGUGCGAUAUCGCACGAAAAAGUGUGCGAUGACAUCAGAUAGAGUUGUCGUCUUCUUCGCAUUUAUUCAUCAUGCGCAAUAUGUUCGAUAUCAAUAACAACCUUCAGUAUCCGGUUUGAAAUUUCCUUAGUCCGAUUCAAACCUGUCCCAUCACCAAUUCGUCAUUCUGUGUCCAACUACCAGUAACAACGAACUACAGGUGUCGUCUUGAAAAAUGUCCAGAUUAUCUGCUGUCCUGUUUCUAUCGGCAGUUUUAGUAAUUGCCGAUGCUUUUGGGAAAGUUGACCUAACACAACACCGUCGCAAUAUCGAAACGGGUGAAGAACCUCAAGUGGAACAUGUGUAUGGCCUGCUCAUGAGACUGGUCUGCAAUAAGGACGAGGGCCAACAGUGGAACAAUAAACUUAAGAUGUGCAUCGUCGUUCCAACGGCGCCAACCGAUGGCACACCAUCGGUUCCGUCGGCACCAACAAUGUUUUCUACCGUUACGGUUGGAUUGUGAUUGUUUUAGAGAUGUGUUUGCGAAUAAAGUGACGAAAAUUGUUUGUAUUGUGAA